CCCCGCCGGCCCUGGUUGCGGGGGUGGAUCGGAGGGCGAGCUAGGCGGUGACGCGGGGCCCUCACGUGACCGGGAGCUGCAGAGCGACGCAGCUUUCGGUGCAGUCGUCACUCGUGUCUGGGUACCAGCUCCCCGCUGCCCUGCGAACGGCGGGCUGGCAUCGGGCCCGGGGGAAGCGGAGCAGACAGUAAUUCGGGGUGGCACUGUUCGCGGCAAGGCGAGGGAAGAAGGAAAGGAGACAACUGCACAGGAUCUGCGGAGGUCUUCCCAUAGGGCGGUAGUAGGGCUGUUUACCACUGAAAGCAAGGGAAAUUGGGAGACUGGCCUGGGACCAUGGAGGUUGGUCUACAGGUCUGAAAGGUUUGAGAUCACUGGAAGCAAAGAAACAAGAAGGAAAUUAUCCCUGAUCAGUAUAGACUGGUCCACAGAUCUCAUGAGUUUAUAG
Molecule: long non-coding RNA, 445 nt
Filed under: Phocoena sinus (vaquita)
Lineage: Eukaryota; Metazoa; Chordata; Mammalia; Artiodactyla; Phocoenidae
Description: lncRNA (ENSPSNG00000020124.1)
Source: RNAcentral